Molecule: long non-coding RNA, 3603 nt
Filed under: Macaca fascicularis (crab-eating macaque)
Lineage: Eukaryota; Metazoa; Chordata; Mammalia; Primates; Cercopithecidae
Description: lncRNA (ENSMFAG00000052489.1)
Source: RNAcentral
UUUUUCUUUUUUUUAAUAAAAUUAUAGAUAUAUAGAUGUAGAUAUAAAAACAUAAAACAGACACAACGCAAGCGGACGCUGUCGUGUGCUUACUCUCAGGUCCCUGACACCAAGGGAAGCACGGACCCCCUCCCCAGUGUGCUUUCCCGCGGCGCAAGCACCGCAGCCAGGCCAGGGCUGGGGACGUGGCAUACCUUGGGGCGGGGAUUCUCCAGUUUGGCAGGGAGGGCCUGAGGGCUGGGGAGGGGGCUCUGGGUGUCACUGGCCCCCUGUGGCAGCAUCACCCCCGUGCCUGCUCCCGCCUGCCCCCCGUCGCCUCCCACAAGAGCAUGAAGCAAAGGUUAAGGCUUUGAUGAAAGGGACAGCGGCGGCCGGAGCACUGACACAUCAGACACGGUGCGGCAGCACAGCACACAGACACGGGACACAAGCCCGCCCGCCGGGCAACACAGGACACAUGGAGCCGGGCCCCCCGCCACAGCUGGCUGGCUGGCCGUCUGUCCACCUAUCCACCACCACCCAGAGCAGGCCAGGGCAGAAGCAUUGGCCUUGCCAAGCUACAAGCUUCCAGCGGGGUCCGUGAAAGGCAACACGUUAGUUAGGAGUAGCCUGGCGGGGGACACUCGGUCCCGGAGCCCACAGGCUGUGUUGGAAGGAAGGUGGGGGCUCUGGAUGCCUCUGUCCAUCUCUGGGACCCGUCCGUAAGGGGGCCGUUGGGGGCUGGCCUGGCGAUGAUCUGGGGUGCAUGGGUGAUGGGAGUGGGCCAAGCUUGGCUGAGAGAGGGUGCCCCAAAGAGGCUGACUGGGGCCCCUCACUGCCCCAGCCAUGGGACGGGCCCAGACACAGAACAGCCCAGUGGCCCUUGGCCCAGUGAGCCGACUUCCCCAUGGGCAGAUGAGUGGACGGGCAGGCAGAGCGCUUGGGGCAAGCUGUGGAGGCGUGGCACUCUCUCCCGCUGAUGGGUCCACACCAGGUUGGGGUGGUUCUCUGUCCCUGGGGCAGAGAAGUCGGUGGGGGGAGCACGCUGCGGGGUCCUGGUCCCCGUGGCACCACGGCAGAUGGGUGGCAGUCAGUCCUCACACCGAGAUCUCGUACGUGGUCCCACCCACGCCGGAUACCUUCUUAACCAGCGUGUGCCUCGUAGGGCUGGCAGAGGGCCCUGAGGGGCCGGUGGCAGGUCCCAGCCGGGCCAGGCCCGGGGACUGCCCAUUUAGCUUACUUGGGGGAGUCUUCAGCUGAGGGUGGUCCCUGCAUCAAAACAAGCACAUACACGCAUGCACACAGUGAACACAGGAACACAUGGGGACAGAGGACAGAGGAGGCAGCAGGACAGAGACGACGCAGACGUGGACUAGUGUAGCCGGGUCCACGGGGCCCCAGGCAGUCCCUGCCCUCUGGGCUCGGAGGGUUCACCUGGAAAGCAGGCGGGAGAUGCAGAGCCUGCCUGGGGAGUGGCUGUGCCGUCACAGGACAGACAGAUGUCACCACAACUGCCACCACCCUCCCGGGCCCCUGGGUCCCUCCUAGGCAGCACUGGCCCCAGAGAGCAUGGGGCAGCCAGGUGGGCAGUGACCGGAGCCCCUGCCCUGCCCUGGGAGCCUGGUCUCUCUGCCUGGCCUCAUUCCUGCUCUCUCUCAGGAAAACGAGGGGCUGCCCUCCUGCCCACUAGCGCUGACCAACAGUAGCUCUACCCUUGCUGCUUAAACCUUCUUGAGGCGAGAGCCCUUUGUCCCAGGGCUGCGAUCCCUGCCUGGCUGCAAUGCUGCCCACUUCUAGAUCUCGGGCCCCCCAUUCAUCACUGCCAAUGGCAGCCUCCUCCCCAACUCCACAAAAGCUGAACAGACUCCCACGCUGUGGGGUAGGGGAGGUCUGCUCAGGGCUGGAUGGACUGCUGUGCCCUCAGCCCCUUUGUGGCCAAGUGGCCUGGGCUGGGCUGGGCUGGGCUCUCCCCCUGGGGCCGCAUCUGCUGACGGGAAACAGCUGAGCCUGUGCUUGAGGUUUCCAGGCCUGGACCGGGAGACAGACGCCAUGAGGACACCAAGCGCCGCAGCCUGGGUCCUGGCCCCAGCAGGUGUGCAGUUCUCCUACCUGGGCCUGGGCCUGCGCGCCAGCUGACCCCGCUGUCUCAGUUACCAACCUGCUGGUUGCCUGGAGCCAGCCUGCUUUCUCCAAUCCUCAGUUUCCCCACCUACGAGCAGGGAAACCCCUGCUUCCUAGAACUAUGUCCCACAGGGAGGGCCAGGAACUGGUCACCCAGGGUGGCACAUUCUGCGGCUAGGUUAUGUUCUCAGCCCCAGCCUCCAAGAGAUGCAGCAAAGCAGACCCAGGGAGAGCCCUGGGUGGACAGGGCCACUGUGACCCAGGAAGCCAGAGCCACAGCCUAAAGGAGGCCCAGGCUGCCGCAUGACACCGGCCCCAAGAAAGCCCCACGGCCUCCCACAUGCUGGGUCUAUGCCAGCUCUGGGGGAACGAGUUGUUGGGAUGAGGACACAAAUUCUCAUACCCUGUCCCCAGAGCGUGCCCAGGACAUCCUCAGAGCUGGGCCACAUGGGCUAGCCAGGGCCUUCAAGGCAGGGUGAGGCGCAUCCUCCCUGUCCUGACCCCAGAGAAAAACUCAGGCCCCUGGGAUGACCUAUGAGUGCCCAGCCAAGAGGGGCCCUGCAGAUGGCUGGACAGCUGCCCUGUGCAAGGAAGCCCACCCGCACCUCCCGGCACCCACCUCUGCACGGCCAGCGAGGGCGGUGGCUCUGGGAGGUCCGUGUGGAUGAAGGCGACAGCUUUGGGGCCUGCGUAGGACGGUGAGUGGGGAGUGCCGGGCGGGAGGGCAGGCCCUGUCGUGCAGGCGACCUAUGUGAGCCACUGCUGGGCCGGGGCCCGGGGUGCUGCUGGCCUGAUCAGCCUGCAGGGAGGAGGACGUCCGCGGUGCACGGCUCACGGAGCUGGACAGCGAGGACAGUGAUGUCUGCAGGGCAGGGUUGCGGGCGCCGCCAAAGCCGGGCCCGGCCACAAGGUCGUCUCUGGAGCCGUAGCGCAGCGUGGAACCUCGGGGGCCCUCGGACAGCACACUGGCCUGCUGCAGACUGUAGGAGCUGGGCGCGUCAUAGACGCCUGAGUCGCCGAAGAGAGAGUCGGCCUGGGAGCGCAGCAGGCGCUCACGCUCCUCCCUGUCCUUGCGCUCCUGGAUGGAUGCCAUGAUGGUCCUGGACAGGUUGUCGUAGCGCACAGGCGAGGGCUCCCGGGGCCUGGGGCCCAGCACGGGGCUGAAGCUGCGGGGCAGGGGGCCGUGGCGGGUCGCCCGUCGCCCCCAGGGUGCAGGUAGGGUGAGUGGUAUCCGGCCACGCCAACUGCUGGAUGGGCGGGGCAGGCGUGGCCACCAGGUGAGCCAGGGUUGAGCAGGCUGUCGUAGGACAGGCUGCCGUUGCGGUUGGGCAGUGCAUGGGGGGCAAAGAUGCUACGGUGGGGCGUGGGGGGCCCACCCUCAGAGCGGAGGGGCUGCAGGGCCACGUGGUCCCCGCCCGGCCGAGGCCUUGAGGCUCAGGGAACGCAAAGCGCCCGAGAAGGCAUCAGAGGCGCUAAGCGGGGGGGAUGGCGGGUAGGCUGCGU